AGAUUGAACGCUGGCGGCAUGCCUUACACAUGCAAGUCGAACGGCAGCACGGGAGCAAUCCUGGUGGCGAGUGGCGAACGGGUGAGUAAUACAUCGGAACGUGCCCAAUCGUGGGGGAUAACGCAGCGAAAGCUGUGCUAAUACCGCAUACGAUCUACGGAUGAAAGCAGGGGACCGCAAGGCCUUGCGCGAGUGGAGCGGCCGAUGGCAGAUUAGGUAGUUGGUGAGGUAAAGGCUCACCAAGCCUUCGAUCUGUAGCUGGUCUGAGAGGACGACCAGCCACACUGGGACUGAGACACGGCCCAGACUCCGUACGGGA
RNAcentral lists this ribosomal RNA (319 nucleotides) under uncultured soil bacterium. RNAcentral's name for it is "bacterial SSU rRNA". It matches the Rfam family "Bacterial small subunit ribosomal RNA", at positions 26 to 346 of the family's 1533-position model. The record is from RNAcentral.